GCCCGAGUAGUUCAGUGGAUAGAAUGCGUCCCUCCUAAGGACGAGGUCGUAGGUUCAAAUCCUACCUCGGGCG
RNAcentral lists this transfer RNA (73 nucleotides) under bacterium. RNAcentral describes it as "tRNA-Arg". It matches the Rfam family "tRNA". Rfam says of the family: Transfer RNA (tRNA) molecules are approximately 80 nucleotides in length. Their secondary structure includes four short double-helical elements and three loops (D, anti-codon, and T loops). Further hydrogen bonds mediate the characteristic L-shaped molecular structure. tRNAs have two regions of fundamental functional importance: the anti-codon, which is responsible for specific mRNA codon recognition, and the 3' end, to which the tRNAs corresponding amino acid is attached (by aminoacyl-tRNA synthetases). tRNAs cope with the degeneracy of the genetic code in two manners: having more than one tRNA (with a specific anti-codon) for a particular amino acid; and 'wobble' base-pairing, i.e. permitting non-standard base-pairing at the 3rd anti-codon position. The record is from RNAcentral.